Molecule: transfer RNA, 95 nt
Filed under: compost metagenome
Description: tRNA-Phe
Source: RNAcentral
GGUUUAUUUGAUCAGGCAGGAAAAUUUGGCGAACUAAAAUUUCGCUGUCGUUCACUAAGCCUGGAGAACCCGGGUUCAAGCUCUGGGACGCGCCC